AGUUAUUGGCCUCUUUUUUUUUUUUUUUUAAAUAAUUUCUUUAAUAAAUAGUAUAUAUGUUGGUAUGUACUUUUCAACAAUACAUUCGUGUUCUAUACACGUCUUACGUUUUCUUUAAAAAAUAAACAUACAAUUGUCGUAUUGUAUGUGUACGUACGUAUUUAUAAUGUUUUAUACACAUAUUUUGUACAAAAUUUUCAGUAAGACACACAAAAUUCACGUAAUUUACAAAUAAUUCUCACAUAUUAUUGAAGAAGAAUAACAUAUGUUAUAAAAAUUAUAUUAAAAUAUCAUAUAGUGGAAGAUUAAUAUCUACUUUGUAUAUGUUCCAAAUUAAUAUCUAUAAGGUACAAACUAAAGAAAUUAAGAGGGUCCUUUUUUAUUAUUAAUUUUUUAAUUAAAUAGUAUAGCCGGUGGCUAUAUUUGUUUUGACAUGUGGCUUUAAUCGAUAAAGGUUCUUCUUUAAAUAAAUAAAUAACUCUUCACAGCUAUACUCCAUGUUUUAAAUUAUUUUUAAAAAGACAUGUUGACACGUGGUGCCUAAUGGUGUGGGGGUCCUCUUUUUUAUAUUUUAAAAAAGUAAAGCCUAACGGCUAUACCCAGUUUUUAAAUUUUU
This 616-nucleotide long non-coding RNA is filed under the name Prunus persica (peach). RNAcentral's name for it is "long non-coding RNA (PPER_LNC003201)". The record is from RNAcentral. Lineage: Eukaryota; Viridiplantae; Streptophyta; Magnoliopsida; Rosales; Rosaceae.